Molecule: microRNA precursor, 109 nt
Filed under: Pteropus vampyrus (large flying fox)
Lineage: Eukaryota; Metazoa; Chordata; Mammalia; Chiroptera; Pteropodidae
Description: miRNA (ENSPVAG00000027464.1)
Source: RNAcentral
GAUCUCCCCCGCUGGAGAGAUCUUGCUGGGGCCUCCAAAAGUUAUGGCAUGAACGAUUCGAUUCUAAGACCCACGGAGCCAAUUGAGAUUAAUUAUGAGCCUUUAUUAG